GUGGGGAAUAUUGGGCAAUGGGCGAAAGCCUGACCCAGCCACGCCGCGUGAGUGAUGAAGGCCUUCGGGUCGUAAAGCUCUGUGGGGAGGGACGAACAAGCUGGGCGCUAAUCACCCCGGUCCUGACGGUACCUCCUUAGCAAGCACCGGCUAACCCUGUGCCAGCAGCCGCGGUAAUACAGGGGGUGCAAACGUUGCUCGGAAUUAUCGGGCGUAAAGCGCGCGUAGGCGGCCACUUAAGUCGGAUGUGAAAGCCCCUGGCUCAACUGGGGAAGUGCACCCGAAACUGAAUGGCUUGAGUGCGAAAGAGGGUCGCGGAAUUCCCGGUGUAGAGGUGAAAUUCGUAGAUAUCGGGAGGAACACCGGUGGCGAAGGCGGCGACCUGGGUCGACACUGACGCUGAGGCGCGAAAGCGUGGGGAGCAAA
RNAcentral lists this ribosomal RNA (426 nucleotides) under uncultured bacterium. RNAcentral's name for it is "bacterial SSU rRNA". It matches the Rfam family "Bacterial small subunit ribosomal RNA", at positions 354 to 772 of the family's 1533-position model. The record is from RNAcentral.